CUCUAAUCUCCCUCCUGGCUGACAGUACGGGCUCCCCAGGUUUUCUCAUUAACCCCUCAGGACAGCUCUGUAAGGAUGGUAUGGUCAGUCCCAUUUCACAGAUGACUAACUCAGGCUCACAGAGUCUAAGUCAUCUCCCCAGUGUACAGUAACUAUUUUUCCUGUAUCGAGAGAGCAUAUGGAGAGAAGAAGGAAAACACAUGUUUCUAAUUUCACUGUGAGUCACUGUCAUUUCUAUGUGGUGGAAUGAGCACCCUGCUGGGCCUGGGGGAAGGGAAGAAAGCGGUUCUACCAUCUCCAUCCAACUGAGUCAUGGACCCCAUGAG
This 326-nucleotide long non-coding RNA is filed under the name Homo sapiens (human). RNAcentral's name for it is "non-protein coding LINC02589:9". The record is from RNAcentral. Lineage: Eukaryota; Metazoa; Chordata; Mammalia; Primates; Hominidae.